ACAAUGUCCACACCAAGGAGCAUAUAACUCAAGAAGAACAUCUUUUGAUUCAUCCAAAACAAUUUCGUCAAAGUUAUUGCCAACCACAAUUUUGACAUCCCCAUCAUUAGUCUCAGGAAUUGGAUCAGAUUUGUAGAAAGGCUUUAAAUUGUCUUCCAAAAACUUCUCCCCAAAUGACUUGACACCAUCCAAGGUUAUUUCACCUUCCAGUAUAAACUUCCUCCCAUCCUCAUUUCCUGUAUAUGCGAGAACUCUUGGGGCAUCACCGCUAACACCAAAGUACUCUGAAACUGGUUUUCCAACAUCUUCGUUGUCGAUUUCAACAAACACACAGAUAAGCUUUCCUUUAAAAGCUUUCACAGCUUCUUGAAAUAUUGGUAAGAAUUUUUCUGAAUCUUUCGAAGUGGCAAAAAGUAUCAACUGCUUCGUAAUGGGAUUUUCAAAUAUCUCUGAGGCACUUUCCCGAGUAAAAUUGGUGACAAGAGGAAGCUUGUUCUCAAAAACAAACUUAGCUAUUGCUGACUUGGUGAAUUCACCAUCAAAGUGGUUGAUAUUCUCGGCUUCUUUCUUAAUUAUGACAAGAGCUGGACGUUGGGCUUGAGAAUCAAUAUGGAAGAGUUUUGCCACAUCUGGAUUGGCAGUCUGAUAGAAGUUGACAUCAUCUUCUAGUGCAGCAGCUGCAGCAAGCUCUUCACUUUUAUCACCCACCAAAUCAUUCAAAUAACCCAACACUACUUUUUUCUCAUCUUUCAAGAUUUGUUCUGCCUCCUCUACAGUCGUUAUAUUGGAUAGAACAGGCCCGGUCUUCUUUUUUAUCCAUGAAAUAAUAGCAUCCUUAUUCCUUUCACCAUUAUAGGUCUUGUGAACACCAUCAAUGAGGAAGAAAACAGUGGGAUACCCUUGCACAUCAUACUUUUGAGCAAGUUCAGCUUCCUCAGUAGCAUCUACUUUAGCAAGCAUCACAUUCUCUCCUUUCAGCUCAGUCGCGGCUGCAGCAUACUCCGGUGCAAGUGCCUGACAAUGACCACACCACGGCGCAUAGAACUCAACCAUAACAUACUUAUUCUUCGAAAUAAAUUCACUAAAAUUCCCUUCCUUCAAUACAGCCACAUCCUUCUCAUCCACUGCUGGCGGCUCAUACGAGUCUUCUCCGUGAUCGGAAGAAUCGUCCUCGAGAUCUUCGUAGUUCUCAAAAUCGUGGUGGUCACCAUAUGGAUUGGAAUCUGAAUGAGCAUCGGAAUCCUCUUCUUCAAGGAAACUGAGAUCCUCUUCUUCUUCAACAACAGAAGAGAAAGCAGUUCUGAAGAAGAUGAGAUUGAGUAGAAAAAUGGAGAGAAUUAGAUAUUUCUUCAUCGCCAUUGCUGAAGCAAGUUGAAA
This 1377-nucleotide unclassified non-coding RNA is filed under the name Hevea brasiliensis (rubber tree). The record is from RNAcentral. Lineage: Eukaryota; Viridiplantae; Streptophyta; Magnoliopsida; Malpighiales; Euphorbiaceae.